UUUCCCGGUUGAUCCCGCCGGGACGUGACUGCUAUCGGAUUGAUACUAAGCCAUGCGAGUCAUUGUAGCAAUACAAGGCAGACGGCUCAGUAACGCGUAGUCAACCUACCCUAUGGACGGGAAUAACCUCGGGAAACUGAGAAUAAUGCCCGAUAGAACAUUAUGCCUGGAAUGGUUUAUGUUCCAAAUGAUUUAUCGCCGUAGGAUGGGACUGCGGCCUAUCAGUUUGUUGGUGAGGUAAUGGCCCACCAAGACUAUUACAGGUACGGGCUCUGAGAGGAGUGGCCCGGAGAUGGGUACUGAGACACGGACCCAGGCCCUAUGGGGCGCAGCAGGCGAGAAAACUUUGCAAUGUGCGAAAGCACGACAAGGUUAAUCCGAGUGGUUUCUGCUAAAGGAACCUUUUGUCGGUCCUAGAAACACCGAUGAAUAAGGGGUGGGCAAGUUCUGGUGUCAGCCGCCGCGGUAAAACCAGCACCUCAAGUUGUCAGGAUGAUUAUUGGGCCUAAAGCAUCCGUAGCCGGCUCUGUUAGUUUUCGGUUAAAUCUGUACGCUUAACGUACAGGCUGCCGGGAAUACUGCAGAGCUAGGGAGUGGGAGAGGUAGACGGUACUCGGUAGGAAGGGGUAAAAUCCUUUGAUCUAUUGAUGACCACCUGUGGCGAAGGCGGUCUACCAGAACACGUCCGACGGUGAGGGAUGAAAGCUGGGGGAGCAAACCGGAUUAGAUACCCGGGUAGUCCCAGCUGUAAACUAUGCAAACUCAGUGAUGCAUUGGCUUGUGGCCAAUGCAGUGCUGCAGGGAAGCCGUUAAGUUUGCCGCCUGGGAAGUACGUACGCAAGUAUGAAACUUAAAGGAAUUGGCGGGGGAGCACCACAAGGGGUGAAGCCUGCGGUUCAAUUGGAUUCAACGCCGGA
This 917-nucleotide ribosomal RNA is filed under the name uncultured archaeon. RNAcentral describes it as "bacterial SSU rRNA". It matches the Rfam family "Archaeal small subunit ribosomal RNA", at positions 1 to 922 of the family's 1478-position model. The record is from RNAcentral.